RNAcentral lists this long non-coding RNA (2586 nucleotides) under Erythranthe guttata (spotted monkey flower). RNAcentral's name for it is "long non-coding RNA (EGUT_LNC000406)". The record is from RNAcentral. Lineage: Eukaryota; Viridiplantae; Streptophyta; Magnoliopsida; Lamiales; Phrymaceae.
UGGGAAAAACUGUACCAAAUGUCUAUGACCGAGGGAUGGAGCGACGAGACGACUGUGGACAUUCUUAAGGAAACAAUACUUUUUCAAGCCUCCAGCAAGUGUUAUGGGCCAGUGGCAGAAAAUCUUGAUGUUAAAUUCGAACAAGUUCUUCCACUGAGCCAAGAAAGUACCGAACACUCUGUAGAAGCUGUUCUCAGACAGCACAAAGAUUUCCCAGAUGCAGGGAAACUGAUGGUGAUGGCGAUUAUGCAUGGCAGUUUUUCGGUGGGUCCCACUGGAACGGACUACGAAGAUGAUUAUCCCAUGGAGUGAAAUAAUUGUUAUAAGGUAUGGGUUUAUUUGACUUGUGUAGUAUUUUCAAGAGUCUCUUUAAUUGCGAGGGGGUGUAGUAUUUUCUGGAAUUCUCGAACUCUGGAAUUUUGAAGUGGAUAUACGAGAUUGAUUAGAUUAAAAACAUGAUCAUGGUAAAAAAAGGCUCAACGAAACGGAAAGAGCAAUUCUCAUGUUCUUGAUUGUAGCUGUCAAAAUUGCUGUUGCUGGGUACUAGAUGUGUAAGCUUGUAUGGAUAGCAUGAAACGGAAAACAAUUUUUAAUAUGUCGUUUAAGUCGAAGUUUCUGUACCUGAGAAAUGCUAUACUGCAUCGAGAUACAAGUUGUAUGAUAGAUAUAUUUAUUCUCUAACCAACUGUAAGUAGGAGAAUUGGUAUUAUCUAAUACUGAGUAUUAUGUGUGACAUCUUGUUAUUUACUUUGCCGGGUGAAAUUUUGUAAGCCAAAAGGCGAAUAAUUCAUCAACCGUAAACGUGCAGAAAUUAGUUACCUAAAAGAGGAUUUUGUGCACAAAUUGAUGAUAAUUUGUCAGUGGUAAGUUAUGUGUAUUAAUAUUUAUAAAUCAUAAUGAAUAAACAGUCCAACCAACCAUAGUUAAAAUUUAAAACAUAGAUUGAUAUUAUGAAUGACACACAAUCUUUGAUCCAAUAUUGAUAUUGACAAUUAUAUAAAUAAAUAAAUAUUCAUAAGUCCCAUAUAAAAAGAAAAUAAGCAGAAUAGGAUUUCCCAUAUUUUUCAGUGGAAUUAAAUUAAAUGUGUGCUUGUGGAAUGUGUUGUGCCAUUGUGUGUGUGACUGUGUUUUUCGUGCACCAAGUGACAUGGCACUUUAAUUGGCUGAGAAUGGAUUACAUUUAGCAACAAAACUCCAAAUCAGAAUUCCCAAUGCCACAUGGCCAAAUGAAGACCUAGACUUCUCUUUAAACAAAAAUCUGGAGGGAAAUCUUGAUCCACCAAAACCAACCAAUCAGCUAAUGCUGACGUGUAGAUAUUGCAAUCCACAACAUAAUCCCAACUUCUAUUUAUACCCUCUUUGCACCACCCUUAUUCCUCACCACCAUCGAGCACAACAAACAAAAUCAAUUAGCAACAAAAAGAAAAAAAAAAACAAAAAAAAAAAAUGGCAACUUCAGCAAUUCAACAAUCUGCAUUCAGUGGGAAGACUGCUUUGAAGCCACAAAAUGAGCUGAUCAGGAAGAUCGGCAACGUCGGCGGCGGCCGCUUCACCAUGAGACGUACCGUCAAGAGCGCCCCUCAGAGCAUAUGGUAUAAUUUCCGCAAUUCGGUAAAUUUAUUAUUAAUUAAUUAUAUAUCUCAAUUUAUCGAAAAUAGGUACAGUUUCAAAAAUAUGGUUUGAUUUAGUGUAACAUGUAAAAUUUAUGUGUUUCAUCUAAUAAUAAUAAUGUGUAAUUUACUAUAAUUUUUAUUAUAUAUCUUGAUGAUUUAGGUACGGAGAAGACAGGCCCAAGUACUUGGGCCCAUUCUCCGAGCAGACCCCAUCGUACCUCACCGGUGAAUUCCCCGGUGACUACGGAUGGGACACUGCUGGGCUCUCGGCAGAUCCCGAGACAUUCGCCAAGAACCGUGAGCUGGAGGUGAUCCACAGUAGGUGGGCCAUGCUCGGCGCUCUGGGAUGCGUCUUCCCAGAGGUUCUAUCAAAGAACGGUGUCAAAUUUGGAGAGGCAGUGUGGUUCAAGGCCGGGUCACAGAUCUUCUCCGAAGGUGGGCUCGACUAUUUGGGAAACCCUAACCUCGUCCACGCACAGAGCAUUUUGGCCAUAUGGGCCACCCAAGUUGUGCUAAUGGGCUUUGUUGAGGGUUACAGAGUUGGAGGGGGCCCACUAGGAGAGGGGCUCGACAAGGUGUACCCGGGCGGGUCUUUUGACCCGUUGGGUCUAGCCGAGGACCCGGAAGCCUUUGCUGAGUUGAAGGUUAAGGAACUCAAGAACGGGAGAUUGGCUAUGUUUUCCAUGUUUGGGUUCUUUGUCCAAGCGAUUGUCACCGGAAAGGGUCCGAUUGAGAACCUUUUUGACCAUCUUGCCGACCCCGUUGCAAACAAUGCUUGGGCCUUCGCCACUAACUUUGUGCCCGGAAAAUGAGAGUGAACACAAGAUUUGCUUUUGAUGAAGUUGUAAAGUGUGGGAUUUAAUUUGCUUUUGAUGUAAUAGUGGAAUGGUUGGACUUUCAAUUUAAUGUAUAUUUGGCAUCUUUUUUCCUUACAUCUUGUUGCACGGUUUAUUCUAUGCUACACCGGGUAGAU